Non-coding RNA from Lactuca sativa (garden lettuce), 649 nucleotides. Lineage: Eukaryota; Viridiplantae; Streptophyta; Magnoliopsida; Asterales; Asteraceae. The record is from RefSeq and is a predicted model, not a curated record.
ACACUCUGAACGCCAUCACCACAACCAUGUAGCUGUUGGCGAAGGUUGAGAAGGAAGUUGGAUCAGUCCCCAUGUAUAGUUAUAUUACCUUCUUUUUGAUCCUCACCCAGAACUCACCUGAACGUUUUUGUUAACAGAGUUUCAGGUUUUUAUAUGGAUUUGAUGAAGAGGGCUUUAACCUUUCGUUUUUCAUAUUUAUUGGUUACUCAAACAUCAUUUAAAGGUACUUCCCUAUUUUUGAAUUUAUAAUUGUAAGUUUAAUUUGGAAUUUUGCAAAAUCAUUUGAAGGUACUUCUCCUGUUCUUAAAUUUUAAAAUAUAUGGAUAUGAUGAAGAGUACUCAUGUGAAUUCCCUUUGAAGGUGUUGCCCCUAUUCUUGAAGCUUUAAGUGUUAUUCAUUGAGUUAAAGAGGUUGGGAUACUGGUGCUUUAGUGUUAUUCAUGGGUCGUUUAAUAAAAACUUUGUGUUUAAUUGGCGUUUAUAUAUUGCUAUUCUUAGUAGCUUUGUUCUUGGUUUAUGAAUGAAGCCAUAGUAAAAGCAUCCAUGUCGAUGUGUAUGAACAAAAGCAUAAAAGAAAGACGUAUUGGUGUAUUUUACUAUGAAUUCAACAUUGAAAAUGAACUAUAAAAAUGAGAUAUGAUUUCAAAUAA